This 135-nucleotide small nucleolar RNA is filed under the name Pelodiscus sinensis (Chinese soft-shelled turtle). RNAcentral describes it as "Small nucleolar RNA SNORA29 (ENSPSIG00000020101.1)". It matches the Rfam family "Small nucleolar RNA SNORA29". From Rfam's summary of the family: ACA29 is a member of the H/ACA class of snoRNA that guide the sites of modification of uridines to pseudouridines. Lineage: Eukaryota; Metazoa; Chordata; Testudines; Trionychidae. The record is from Rfam by way of RNAcentral.
CUUCCCAUUUAACUACUACUCCUUCAUUUUACAGAUUGAGUGGCUAUGCUUAUGGGAUAGAGAAAACACUGCCAAAGUCUGAAGGAGAAGAUUGACAAUAUCUUUUUCCUAUAUGAAAUGGCAGAACACAGAAUG